This 531-nucleotide ribosomal RNA is filed under the name uncultured bacterium. RNAcentral describes it as "bacterial SSU rRNA". It matches the Rfam family "Bacterial small subunit ribosomal RNA", at positions 31 to 554 of the family's 1533-position model. The record is from RNAcentral.
GAACGCUGGCGGCAGGCUUACACAUGCAAGUCGAGCGGUAACAUUUCUAGCUUGCUAGAAGAUGACGAGCGGCGGACGGGUGAGUAACGCGUAGGAAUCUGCCUAGUAGUGGGGGACAACAUGUGGAAACGCAUGCUAAUACCGCAUACGCCCUACGGGGGAAAGGAGGGGAUCUUCGGACCUUUCGCUAUUAGAUGAGCCUGCGUGAGAUUAGCUAGUUGGUGGGGUAAAGGCCUACCAAGGCGACGAUCUCUAGCUGGUCUGAGAGGAUGAUCAGCCACACUGGGACUGAGACACGGCCCAGACUCCUACGGGAGGCAGCAGUGGGGAAUAUUGGACAAUGGGCGCAAGCCUGAUCCAGCCAUGCCGCGUGUGUGAAGAAGGCCUUAGGGUUGUAAAGCACUUUCAGGAGUGAGGAAGGGCGUAUAGUUNAUACCUGUAUGUUUUGACGUUUACUCCAGAAGAAGCACCGGCUAACUCUGUGCCAGCAGCCGCGGUAAUACAGAGGGUGCGAGCGNUUAUCGGAAUUAC